AGUGAACGCUGGCGGUAGGCCUAACACAUGCAAGACGAACGGCAGCACAGUAAGAGCUUGCUCUUACGGGUGGCGAGUGGCGGACGGGUGAGGAAUACAUCGGAAUCUACUUUUUCGUGGGGGAUAACGUAGGGAAACUUACGCUAAUACCGCAUACGACCUACGGGUGAAAGCAGGGGAUCUUCGGACCUUGCGCGAUUGAAUGAGCCGAUGUCGGAUUAGCUAGUUGGCGGGGUAAAGGCCCACCAAGGCGACGAUCCGUAGCUGGUCUGAGCGGAUGAUCAGCCACACUGGAACUGAGACACGGUCCAGACUCCUACGGGAGGCAGCAGUGGGGAAUAUUGGACAAUGGGCGCAAGCCUGAUCCAGCCAUACCGCGUGGGUGAAGAAGGCCUUCGGGUUGUAAAGCCCUUUUGUUGGGAAAGAAAAGCAGCAGGUUAAUACCCCGCUGUUCUGACGGUACCCAAAGAAUAAGCACCGGCUAACUUCGUG
Molecule: ribosomal RNA, 492 nt
Filed under: uncultured bacterium
Lineage: Bacteria
Description: partial 16S ribosomal RNA
Rfam family: Bacterial small subunit ribosomal RNA
Source: RNAcentral